CUUUGAUGUAAAAAUUAUAUAUUUGUUUUAUUUUUGAACAUAUGUCCAACAAUGGUCGGAUUAUUUCAUCACCUAUCAAUAAAUCAGUGAUGUGUUUGGGUUUUUACAUCAGAGGCCCUUGAGGGCCCUUGAGGGCCUCGGGUGUAUUGCCAUCGCCUAAUUUUCUAUUUAUAGAUAAGCAUAUAUAAUUAGUUUUGGUUUGAUAACCGACAUUAAAAUUAUAGACCCGCGGACAUUAUAGUGCAGAAUAAAAUUCCUUAUCGCUUCUUUUAAAUUCAUGUUUUCAAUGGAUACUCAGAUUUUUUUGAUUUUUUUAAAUGCAAAUUAAUAAUAUGAAAAUGUUUUGUCGUUAGAAAUAUUCGUAUAUUAAUCAAACGAUCUUCAAUAUCAAUGACAUACCGAAAAAUUGUUGUUGCGGAUGAAUACCACGAAUGCAUAUUCAUCAAGUGGGCAAGAGCGAGCUUGAGGAAAAACGAGAGAAAAUCAAUUCACGCAAUUACACACAGAAAGGUAAUUAUAUUUCAAUUAUUUGAUUUUGAGUAACCUCUUUAAACCGUUUGUAGCAUAUAUGUCUAUAAUAUUAACGUAGCAAAAUCAGGAAUAUUUAAUCUGAC
RNAcentral lists this long non-coding RNA (614 nucleotides) under Mytilus galloprovincialis (Mediterranean mussel). The record is from RNAcentral. Lineage: Eukaryota; Metazoa; Mollusca; Bivalvia; Mytilida; Mytilidae.